This 378-nucleotide ribosomal RNA is filed under the name Halomonas sp. S2-5. RNAcentral's name for it is "bacterial LSU rRNA". It matches the Rfam family "Bacterial large subunit ribosomal RNA", at positions 48 to 474 of the family's 2925-position model. The record is from RNAcentral. Lineage: Bacteria; Pseudomonadati; Pseudomonadota; Gammaproteobacteria; Oceanospirillales; Halomonadaceae.
GAUGAAGGACGUUGUAGCCUGCGAAAAGGCUCGGUGAGGUGGCAAACAACCUGUGACCCGGGCAUGUCCGAAUGGGGAAACCCACUCAUCACAAGAUGAGUAUCCCGCACUGAAUUCAUAGGUGCCGGGAGGCGAACCGGGGGAACUGAAACAUCUAAGUACCCCGAGGAAAAGAAAUCAACCGAGAUUCCCUCAGUAGCGGCGAGCGAACGGGGACCAGCCCUUAAGUCAAUGCACGGUUAGGUGAACGGCCUGGAAAGGCCGGCCAUAGUGGGUGAUAGCCCCGUAACCGAAAACCCGCAUUGGUGAAAUCGAGUAGGUCGGGGCACGUGAAACCUUGACUGAAGACGGGGGGACCAUCCUCCAAGGCUAAAUACU